Molecule: ribosomal RNA, 413 nt
Filed under: uncultured bacterium
Lineage: Bacteria
Description: bacterial SSU rRNA
Rfam family: Bacterial small subunit ribosomal RNA
Source: RNAcentral
GACGAACGCUGGCGGCGUGCCUAAUACAUGCAAGUCGAACGCAUUUUCUUUCACCGUAGCUUGCUACACCGAAAGAAAAUGAGUGGCGAACGGGUGAGUAACACGUGGGUAACCUGCCCAUCAGCGGGGGAUAACACUUGGAAACAGGUGCUAAUACCGCAUAAUUCCAUUUACCGCAUGGCAGAUGGAUGAAAGGCGCUUUUGCGUCACUGAUGGAUGGACCCGCGGUGCAUUAGCUAGUUGGUGGGGUAACGGCCUACCAAGGYUGCGAUGCAUAGCCGACCUGAGAGGGUGAUCGGCCACACUGGGACUGAGACACGGCCCAGACUCCUACGGGAGGCAGCAGUAGGGAAUCUUCGGCAAUGGACGCAAGUCUGACCGAGCAACGCCGCGYGAGUGAAGAAGGUUUUCGG